This 253-nucleotide ribosomal RNA is filed under the name uncultured bacterium. RNAcentral describes it as "partial 16S ribosomal RNA". It matches the Rfam family "Bacterial small subunit ribosomal RNA", at positions 524 to 776 of the family's 1533-position model. The record is from RNAcentral.
UACAGAGGGUGCGAGCGUUAAUCGGAAUUACUGGGCGUAAAGCGUGCGUAGACGGUUACAUAAGUCGGGUGUGAAAGCCCCGGGCUCAACCUGGGAAUUGCAUUCGAGACUGCGUAGCUAGGGUGCGGAAGAGGGAAGCGGAAUUUCCGGUGUAGCGGUGAAAUGCGUAGAUAUCGGAAGGAACACCAGUGGCGAAAGCGGCUUCCUGGUCCAGCACCGACGUUCAGGCACGAAAGCGUGGGGAGAAAACAGG